CCUGCCCCGCCCCCAGGGAGCGGGGGGCUGAGCGACGGGGUUCCCCGAGGGUUUCCCCGGUUCGGUCUCGAAGUGAAGCGCUACUGGCGCGUAGGUUGACUCCGCGGUUGUCGGAAUACCCCUUUGCUCUCAAAAGCAAAUAGGAGCCCGUGGAGAGCGCAGAGGAAUACACUAGCAGGGUGACCAGUGUUGGGAGAGAUUGGAAAACAAAGUUCAAAGACGACAGCGCUCAGUGGUCAAUGGCGCUCUCUGCUGGGAAGCUCAGGAACAGCACCCUCUUUCACAAACAGUUCCUAGGGUUCCAGAAGUAGUAGCGCCAUUACAUCAUCACCCUACCUGUUUGGUGAAUAAGGUCUACCCUUUUCUAUCCUUGACUCAGAUUCCUGAGAGGUCAGAAACUACUGAAUGUCAAAAGAACUCUUGCUCAAAAGUUGCAUCCAAACCGGUCUUGUGGGUAACAGUGCUCAGCAAUACAAGUGAAAUGAGAUUCAAUUCAUCUAGCUUUACCAACUGCCAUGAAAUAAAAUUGCUCAAUUGUCUUGGGCAACUGGCACUUCAGAAAGAUUACACAACAAUUUCAUCCAUAAGGUCCCAAUAAAAUUAAUAAA
Molecule: long non-coding RNA, 608 nt
Organism: Erinaceus europaeus (western European hedgehog)
Lineage: Eukaryota; Metazoa; Chordata; Mammalia; Eulipotyphla; Erinaceidae
Exons: 3
Source: RefSeq, a predicted model, not a curated record